AAAAUAUGGAAACAUGUUGGUAGCUGUUAGACAUUUACGCACUUAUAAACACUUUUAAAUGAUUUAAAUGUUAACACACUGAUAAAUGCAGCAUGCCCAAUGCCAGCACACAGUAAGUGUCAUUCCAUCAGUUUCAGUCCGGUACCCAGUAAGUAUGGAAGUUAUAUAGAAGAACACUUAAUUAAAACAUUUAUCAUAGCUAGCAGAUGUCAGCUAUUUUACGUAAUCAGAUAUCAGCUUAUUUUACUUAGCCUCAGGUGAUUGUUAGCCAUUUAGCAGCACUUAUCUAGUAAUCAAGGCACUAAACAAGUUACUUAUUUCUACUUUUGCACCUUUGUAUUCUUAAUAAAUACAUUUGUAUCUUUGUGUGUAAACUUAUAAACUAAUAUGUAACAGUAUAAUAUGGUGUGUGGAACGUUGGCUUUAGCUAAAGCAUAAUGGUGGCAAAAUAGACAUAGCUGAGAGAUUAGAAGUAACAGUUUGAAAUCUAAGGGUGGCGAAUGAUGGAGAGAUAUGAGGGGAAAUGUAAAGUUUAAUAAGACUGAACCAAGGUCGGAAGUUAAUGGUGGCGAGACAGAGAAUAUUAGAAUCAAAGAUAGAUUGAUGCGAGAGGAGUACAGCAUGCAAGAUAAUGUGGCAGAGAUAGGGCUAAAAAACUGUAAUAAAAAGCUGCCUGUUUCUGUGAAUCGGAGAGCAAUUAGAGAACGGACAGGUGGUGUCAUCUCUGAAUGUUCCAGCCGAUGUUUGCAAAUAAAGGCUUUCGUCUUCUUGAAGAAUUAUCUGUGUCUGUGUCAUCUUAUCCAACUUUGAGUCUCUAAACCACGACAAAGUUGACGCAGCGAUAAGGUCAGGAAGAGACCGUUAAUUAAAAGACAAACAGCCCAGUGCGCUUCCCAGCCCCUCUGUGGCUCCUAGGGACAACUGGAACAGGAUUGCCACCCAUCAAAAUUAUGCAGUUUUCCACUUCAUUUGGACUAAUAACCUGUUGAACAUGGGAAGCCAUUGGGGACACAGAAGUGCCUAUGUAGUUAGAAAGUCUCUCAGACCCAAGAAUCUGUCACUAAAUUAUUCUAAAAGGUGGCCCGGAGGAUUGUCCGAGAAGGCUGCGUUGUGUGGAAAAGCAAUAGCAGUUGGAGGUAGACCAGGAGGAAGGACCCUUUAAACCUGGAGACAAGGUGUAUGUAUGAGCUUUCCGAACCAUCCACCACUGUUCCUGUAGAAGGUUGAUCUACCUGGUACCAUCUCAAUCCUUACAUGAGGGCUGUCACGCAGGUACGACUCGAUAAUAGCCCUGAGCUACUGUGAAGCAACUGCCAAUGAUGACGGGUGAAGACGAAUCUGGCCCUCAAGGAAAAUGGACCUCGUGAUAGAAUACUACUACGAUGGAGAAGAAGUGUUAGGAAAAUGCAAAACAAAGUGUGUAAGGGGAGCUGGAUCUUUUUUUCCUGCCUCACGUAAUAGGGGUGGGUUUUUGGCCCAGUCUCCCAGGGAGCCAAAGAAAGAACACUGCACGGCAUUACACUGUUAAUUAAAAUACCCUGCAUUUUAGGACUCUAUGAGCGAUUUGACAUGGGGUUGUGUGUGUGUGGUUGUCUUUGUCUGUUGAGACUCGGAAGAAUCUCAAAGGAGGGAGUUAUAUGGAAGUUAUAUAGAAGAACACUUAAUUAAAACAUUUAUCAUAGCCAGCAGAUGUCAGCUAUUUUAUGUGAUCAGACUUCGGCUUAUUAUACUUAGCCUCACGUGAUUGUUAGCCAUUUAGCGGCACUUAAUUAAAUCAUUUAUCUAGUAAUCAAGGCACUAAACAAGUUACUUAUUUCUACUUUUGCACAUUUGUAUUCUUAAUAAAUACAUUUAUAUCUUUGUGUGUUAACAUAAACUAAUAUGUAACAGUAUAAUAUGGUGUAUGUAAUCUUGGCUUUUGUUAAAACAUAAUGGUGGCAAAAUAGACAUAGCUGAGAGAUUAGAAGUAACAAUUUGAAAUCUAAGGGUGGCAAAAGAUGGAGAGAUAUGAGGGGAAAUGUAAAGUUUUAGAAAACUGAACCAAGGUCGGAAGUUAAUGGUGGUGAGACAGAGAAUAUUAGAAUCAAACCUAGAUUGAUGCGAGAGUAGUACAGCAUGCAAGAUAAUGUAGCAGAGAUAAGGCUGAAAAACUGUAAUAAAAAACUGCUUCUGUGAAUUGGAGAGCAAUUAGAGAACGGACAGGUGGUGUCAUCUCUGAAUGUUCCAGCCGAUGUUUGCAAAAUAAAGGCUUUCGCCUUCUUGAAGAA
This is a long non-coding RNA of Leucoraja erinaceus (little skate), 2267 nucleotides long. RefSeq lists it as uncharacterized. The record is from RefSeq and is a predicted model, not a curated record. The transcript is spliced from 3 exons. NCBI's taxonomy places the organism in Eukaryota, Metazoa, Chordata, Chondrichthyes, Rajiformes, Rajidae.